CCUACGGGAGGCAGCAGUGGGGAAUAUUGCACAAUGGGCGAAAGCCUGAUGCAGCAACGCCGCGUGAGUGAUGAAGGCUUUCGAGUCGUAAAGCUCUUUGAUCAGGGAUGAUAAUGACAGUACCUGAAAAACAAGCCACGGCUAACUACGUGCCAGCAGCCGCGGUAAUACGUAGGUGGCGAGCGUUGUCCGGAAUUACUGGGCGUAAAGGAUGCGUAGGUGGAUAUUUAAGUGGGAUGUGAAAUCCCCGGGCUCAACCCGGGAACUGCAUUCCAAACUGGAUAUCUAGAGUGCAGGAGAGGAAAGCGGAAUUCCUAGUGUAGCGGUGAAAUGCGUAGAUAUUAGGAGGAACACCAGUGGCGAAGGCGGCUUUCUGGACUGUAACUGACACUGAGGCAUGAAAGCGUGGGUAGCAAACA
RNAcentral lists this ribosomal RNA (419 nucleotides) under uncultured Proteiniclasticum sp. Its description in RNAcentral is "bacterial SSU rRNA". It matches the Rfam family "Bacterial small subunit ribosomal RNA", at positions 338 to 774 of the family's 1533-position model. Lineage: Bacteria; Bacillati; Bacillota; Clostridia; Eubacteriales; Clostridiaceae. The record is from RNAcentral.